This 1365-nucleotide ribosomal RNA is filed under the name uncultured bacterium. RNAcentral's name for it is "bacterial SSU rRNA". It matches the Rfam family "Bacterial small subunit ribosomal RNA". The record is from RNAcentral.
GAGUUUGAUCCUGGCUCAGGACGAACGCUGGCGGCGCGCCUAACACAUGCAAGUCGAACGAGCGAGAGAGAGCUUGCUUUCUCGAGCGAGUGGCGAACGGGUGAGUAACGCGUGAGGAAUCUGCCUCAAAGAGGGGGACAACAGUUGGAAACGACUGCUAAUACCGCAUAAGCCCACGGCUCGGCAUCGAGCAGAGGGAAAAGGAGCAAUCCGCUUUGAGAUGGCCUCGCGUCCGAUUAGCUAGUUGGUGAGGUAAUGGCCCACCAAGGCGACGAUCGGUAGCCGGACUGAGAGGUUGAACGGCCACAUUGGGACUGAGACACGGCCCAGACUCCUACGGGAGGCAGCAGUGGGGAAUAUUGCACAAUGGGGGAAACCCUGAUGCAGCGACGCCGCGUGGAGGAAGAAGGUCUUCGGAUUGUAAACUCCUGUUGUUGAGGAAGAUAAUGACGGUACUCAACAAGGAAGUGACGGCUAACUACGUGCCAGCAGCCGCGGUAAAACGUAGGUCACAAGCGUUGUCCGGAAUUACUGGGUGUAAAGGGAGCGCAGGUGGGAAGACAAGUUGGAAGUGAAAUCUAUGGGCUCAACCCAUAAACUGCUUUCAAAACUGUUUUUCUUGAGUAGCGCAGAGGUAGGCGGAAUUCCCGGUGUAGCGGUGGAAUGCGUAGAUAUCGGGAGGAACACAGUGGCGAAGGCGGCUACUGGGCACCAACUGACGCUGAGGCUCGAAAGUGUGGGUAGCAAACAGGAUUAGAUACCUGGUAGUCCACACCGUAAACGAUGAUUACUAGGUGUUGGAGGAUUGACCCCUUCAGUGCCGCAGUUAACACAAUAAGUAAUCCACCUGGGGAGUACGACCGCAAGGUUGAAACUCAAAGGAAUUGACGGGGGCCCGCACAAGCAGUGGAGUAUGUGGUUUAAUUCGACGCAACGCGAAGAACCUUACCAAGUCUUGACAUCCCUUGACGAUGCUGGAAACAGUAUUUCUCUUCGGAGCAAGGAGACAGGUGGUGCAUGGUUGUCGUCAGCUCGUGUCGUGAGAUGUUGGGUUAAGUCCCGCAACGAGCGCAACCCUUACUGUCAGUUACUACGCAAGAGGACUCUGGCAGGACUGCCGUUGACAAAACGGAGGAAGGUGGGGAUGACGUCAAAUCAUCAUGCCCUUUAUGACUUGGGCUACACACGUACUACAAUGGCGUUAAACAAAGAGAAGCAAGACCGCGAGGUGGAGCAAAACUCAGAAACAACGUCCCAGUUCGGACUGCAGGCUGCAACUCGCCUGCACGAAGUCGGAAUUGCUAGUAAUCGUGGAUCAGCAUGCCACGGUGAAUACGUUCCCGGGCCUUGUACACACCGCCCGUC